ACUCAGCUUUGCCUCUAGAUUUGGGAGCUAGAAAGUCUGCUGGAUUUCGCCAGUGGGAGGCAAUUAGAAGAUUAAUUUAAAGAUCAGAUAAGCAGUAGAGAUAAAAGCCACUCUGAGGGCAGGAGACUUGACCUAAGAUUAUCUGAAAAUGUCAGUAGCUAGAGAACAAGCAACAGUGAGAAAGAGAAUUUCCAGAAAAGAGUCAACGAUGGAACAAGGUCAGAGAAGAGAAUAAAAUCAAGAAAUUUAAGCGGAGAAAUUUUCCUUAGAAAAGAGAAAGGACAUUUGUCAAUUUUGAAGCAGAGGAGAGCUCAUUUGAUAGCUUGCACUGCAUAAACUUUACCAUUUCGGUAAAGCUAGGAGAUUACAGAUGGAUUCUGUUUAGGAGAGAGAGAAGAGGAAUAUAUGUACAAUCCCUAGGAGAACAGGUGAAGGAAAGAGGUGGUAGAAAAAUCACAGCACACUGUCAUGGAUUUGGAGUCAGAUAGAGCUGGGUUUCAGUCUCUCAUACUGGACUUUUCUCAAUUCCUCCGAGACUCAGCAUCCUUAUCAGUGAAAUGGACAAAAU
RNAcentral lists this long non-coding RNA (568 nucleotides) under Vulpes vulpes (red fox). Its description in RNAcentral is "lncRNA (ENSVVUG00000011468.1)". The record is from RNAcentral. Lineage: Eukaryota; Metazoa; Chordata; Mammalia; Carnivora; Canidae.